This 632-nucleotide non-coding RNA is filed under the name Pongo abelii (Sumatran orangutan). Lineage: Eukaryota; Metazoa; Chordata; Mammalia; Primates; Hominidae. The record is from RNAcentral.
GAGGUGAACAUCCAUAGUAUCAUACAAAUUUCUCAGCUGCCUCCUCCAAAACUGGCAUCAGCAGAAGAGCAAUCGAUGCUGGUCUUGCUAUGUUGCCCAGGGUAGUCUCAAACUCUUGGCCUCAAGCGAUCAUCCUGCCUCAGCCUCCCAAAGCAGUGGAAUUACAGGUGAGAGAAAUGAGGCAUCAGACAGAUAACUUGUAAGUUCUCAAAGUUUACAAUGGUAAAGCCAGGCCGGGUGCAGUGGCAUGCACCUGUAAUCACAGCAACUCAUGAGACUAAGGCAGGAGGACCUCUUGAGCCCAGGAGUUUGAGGUUUCAGUGAGCUAUGAUCAUGCCACUGCACUCCAACCUGGGCAAUAGAGCAAAACCCUGUCAAUCAAGCAAGCAAGCAGACAAGCAAGGAAGCAAGCAGCAGAGCCUCUGCAUGAGCUCAUGAAUGGCUGCUGUGGAAAAUUACUGACAUCACCAGCUGAAUAACAGGCUAUCUGGAGAGUAAGCAGAUGAAACUGAUGUUAAAUUAUCAAAUGUACAAGAUUUUGGGCUCCUGCCAAAACCUUCAUUGAGAACUAAGAAGAGAAAAAGUGAAAACACAGAGCUUUUUUUAAGCUUCUGAGCCAGCAGGCUGUUCCU